This 253-nucleotide ribosomal RNA is filed under the name uncultured bacterium. RNAcentral's name for it is "partial 16S ribosomal RNA". It matches the Rfam family "Bacterial small subunit ribosomal RNA", at positions 524 to 776 of the family's 1533-position model. The record is from RNAcentral.
UACGUAGGUGGCAAGCGUUGUCCGGAAUUAUUGGGCGUAAAGCGCGCGCAGGUGGUUUCUUAAGUCUGAUGUGAAAGCCCACGGCUCAACCGUGGAGGGUCAUUGGAAACUGGGGAACUUGAGUGCAGAAGAGGAAAGUGGAAUUCCAAGUGUAGCGGUGAAAUGCGUAGAGAUCAGGAAGAACACCCGUGGCGAAGGCGGCCCACUGGGCCGGUGCUGACGCUGAGGCGCGAAGGCGUGGGGAGCGAACGGG